Meleagris gallopavo (turkey) is the source of this 3070-nucleotide long non-coding RNA. NCBI's taxonomy places the organism in Eukaryota, Metazoa, Chordata, Aves, Galliformes, Phasianidae. The record is from Ensembl.
AAUGUUCUUUGUUUUGUCAUCUUUUGCUUGUAUUAUUUUUUUCUCUCAUCAUCUGAUUUUUUUUUUUUCCUACAGUUGCUACUCCAAGGAAUAAGCAUCACCUGUACACUCCACUGUGCUGUCUGCUCACUGCCACUAACAUCAGCAUAUUACACCAAUCUCUACCAGAGGCCUUCUUGUCUCCAGCUGCAACAGUGGUCCAGAGUUGGUUGGUUUUUAAUGUCCUGCAUCUUUGAGAAGGUGAGAUUUAAUUUUCGUGUUUGUUCUGUGUCAUUUGUUACAUACUAUCACUUGCAAGGUCGUCUUGUCCCAUUUCUGGCCCCAGAACAGUAAGACACUUCAACACAUCUUUGUCUUUAGUCGAUCAAGUAUUGCUAUUGUCUCUGGUAUUAUUUUGUUGCCUUCCUGUGAAAAAGUAUCUACUUCCUGGAUAAAAAAAAUUUGGUUUAUUUGUCAGAGUGGGUGACAUUCUGCCUUCCCCUUUCAAACAGAAAGUUUCUUGAAGGGUCUCUGCCACGUUUUACAGAAAGCAGGAAGUUAAAUACCUUUGUAAGAUGAGUUCAUUUCUACGUGGUCAGGUUUCUUCUCCGAGAAGGAAAACAGGUGUGUCGAACCUUAGAGAAACCAGAUUCAGAAUCUGACAAGAACUUUCUUUUCCUCUGCUUGCAGUAAUAAUCUCCAUCUCAUUAUCCACUGUAUUCUUUCACACUACAUGCUUGAUGUCCUUUGACUAAUUUCGUGUAAUUUUUUUCUUUUCUUUUAAACAUUUCAUCCCAAUUAUUACCUUGACAUUACAUUGAAAGUAGGGUUUACUAUGAGUUUUCAGGGGCAAACUUCACCAGUGUUUUCCAAGCUAGAGAUUUCCCCUGAACUUGUUUAAAUGCCAUACUCAGUCCUCUGUAAGAACUUUUUUAAAAAUGAAAGAAAAAUUCCUAUAUUCUAUAUUAUAAUAAUAUUAUAAUAUUCCUAUAUUAUUCUUCACUCUUUCUUAUGCCUUUUGGGCAUCAGCUGCUGCUAGCAGACUGUAGGAUGUGGAAAAGCAGUACAUAUGACUUCUAUACUGAUUCCUCAUUGCAAAUAUAAGGGUAAAAGGUUAAAUAAAUAAUUGUGAGAUUAAUUAAUUUACAAAGCCGAACAACCUCUGCAUCAUCUAAAGGUUGUUUUUUUCAUGAAACAUUUCAUGGUUCAAAGAUGUUAAGGCAAUGUUUCCCUCUUUCUUAUCUAUCCUAAAAUGGUAGAGCAUGAAGCAAUCCUAUUCUGAAUGAAGACAAUAUAAAAAAAAACACUUGCAUUUGUGGCAUAACCUUUUAGGAUAUUCUAUUAACUUUUGGGCUUUAAUUUAGCUUCACAGGCUGAUGAGAAAAAAAUUACUAGCUACACUAUUUUCCAGAUAAGUAGAGACAUGAAAGGGCAUAUACUAACAUUUACAAAUUCAAGUAUGGGUUAUGCAACAGAUAGCCUAUGUUAAGAUAUCUAGUUGCCUUGUAUUCCCAGUGUAGUUUUGCUAUUCAGUUCUGGUAGUGUUGCAGGUAUCUGUUCCAAAGCUGUAAAACUCUCUACAAAGUGCAAGGAAAGAAGAAACUGGCUCCAGAAGGAGAAGAAAAGAAUGCUCUUUUUCCACAUUAUACUUGUCUGAAUAAUAGUUCUGGUUCACUGAAGUAAUCUGAAAUUAAAAGUUCCCUACAAUAAUUAAUGUUUUGAUGCCACGGCAUUGUAUGUCCCGAUGACAUAAUGAUUAGUACCAGAUCCUAAUAAGCAACAAUUUGUUUAUUGUAUGUAUUGGACCAUUAAAACAUUUUAAAUGGGUAAAUAGGAUACCAGCUGUAUUUGUGAACCUCUUGGACAAAUUGUCACCAGGCUGUGGUGUAAUUGGUUCCCACUGCAACACUCGAACACCUGUAGGUGGUUCUGGUUAUGGAUCACAAAUGAAAAUACUCUAUUGAUUCAGGCACGUCUCCAGAAUUCAGAACUCUGAGAGAAUGUUGUGUCACUUUGAAUGAUAAAGAAUGCCAACUGUAUUUUGUUUCUGCAAGCUCUCCUUGCCAGGCUAUGAGUAAUACCACGUUGUACAUUCUGCAUUUUGUGUUCCAAAUUCCAUGCUCUGUGCUCAUUGUUCCAAGUCAUCAAUUCUGUACGUGAUGCAGGCAAAACAAUUUUUGCCUAGUUCUGUUACCUUUUUUUCUCUUCAAUGAUUCUCAGUUAACAGCACAAGUUAUUUUAUGAGGGCUGCUCCAAAAGUAAUGCCUCCUAUUUGUCGUUGGCUCACAACCUCAGAGGUGGAUAUUAAUGAUACGGCAGUAGACAAUGAACCUUCCUGCAAGUAUUCCAUUACAUUUUGUUGCCAUGUGACAGAUGGCAGCAGAGGGGCAGCCUGACAGAAUGGCAUCUGACACAGAAGUGCCUAUGAAGCAAAGGACUGCCACUGAAUUCCUCCGUGCAGAAAAAAAUUGCACCCGCAAACAGUUAUCGACUCUUGCUGAAUGAAGACCAAACAGUGGAUGUGAGAACAGUGAGGUGGUGGGUGGUGCAUUUCAGCAGUGGUGACACGGUAUAUCACCUCCACUCAUGCAGAUUUUUAUGAGUGUGGCAUGCAGGCCCUUGUUCAUCACUGGCAAAAAUGCAGAGCUAAUGGUGGUGACUGUCGAAAAUUGUGUUUGUAGCUGAGAAUGUGCUCUAUCUAUUAGUGUCAUUGUGCUCGUUGUAUCUGUUAUAGUUUCCAUGGAAGCCUUACUUUUGGAGCAAUUGAAACACAACCAGUUUUUAGUGUAGUUGGGAACUUUUUUUUUACCUAUGCCACAAUUCAAGCAUUGUAUUUGAUUCAGGAUAAAGUUGAGUAUUUAACAGCUUUGAAUCAGCAUUACUGCAAAGCUUAGCAUAAAACUUGUCCUAAGAGUAUCUUUGACAAUACACCAUCUGGGCUUCAGUAAACACAAAAGUGUAAGUAGCAUAAAUUAUUGUUUGAAAUUGCUGAAGUAAUUUUGUGCAUACUCUUUUUAAAUAAUUUGGUUGUAGACAUUCUAUCAGUUUAAAUGACAGUACAAAAAGUUUCAAAGCUACAUAGCAAACAAUU